Molecule: ribosomal RNA, 461 nt
Filed under: uncultured bacterium
Lineage: Bacteria
Description: SSU rRNA
Rfam family: Bacterial small subunit ribosomal RNA
Source: RNAcentral
AGGAUGAACGCUGGCGGCGUGCCUAAUACAUGCAAGUCGAGCGGCAGCGCGAAUAGUUUACUAUUUGGCGGCGAGCGGCGGACGGCUGAGUAACGCGUAGGAACGUACCCCAAAGUGAGGGAUAAGCACCAGAAAUGGUGUCUAAUACCGCAUGUGGUCUAAGGAUUAAAGCUUCGGCGCUUUGGGAACGGCCUGCGUUUGAUUAGCUAGUUGGUGAGGUAAAAGCUUACCAAGGCGACGAUCAAUAGCUGGUCUGAGAGGAUGAUCAGCCAGACUGGGACUGAGACACGGCCCAGACUCCUACGGGAGGCAGCAGUAGGGAAUUUUCCACAAUGGGCGAAAGCCUGAUGGAGCAACGCCGCGUGCAGGAUGAAUGCCUUAGGUUGUAAACUGCUUUUAUAUGUGACGAUUAUGACGGUAGCAUAUGAAUAAGGAUCGGCUAACUCCGUGCCAGCAGCCGC